CAGUAGCCGCGGGAAUACGAGGGGUGCAAGCGUUAUUCGGAUUGAUUGGGUGUAAAGGGUGUGCAGACGGCUUAUUAAGUCACUUGUUAAAUUCUUCGGCCUAACUGAAGGUCUGCAAGUGAUACUGAUGAGCUAGAGGGUGGAAGAGAGAUGUGGAAUUCUCGGAGUAGCGGUAAAAUGCGUAGAUCUCGAGAGGAACACCAAUGGCGAAGGCAGCUUCUUGGUCCAUUCCCGACGUUCAUACACGAAAGCGUGGGGAGCAAACAGGAUUAGAUACCCCCGUAGUCCCUGUCUCUUAUAC
RNAcentral lists this ribosomal RNA (301 nucleotides) under uncultured bacterium. RNAcentral's name for it is "partial 16S ribosomal RNA". It matches the Rfam family "Bacterial small subunit ribosomal RNA", at positions 509 to 807 of the family's 1533-position model. The record is from RNAcentral.